ACUUUUACAUACCGUCUCUAUUUUUCCAUGUUUUUCAGAUGAGUUCUCCCUUGAGCAGCAGAUUGGAGAUUUGCCUGGCUCAGAGACGAGACUAAUGGAGCUUCACUUAUAUAGGAAGGAAACACAGAAAGCGGGUCCUUAUUCAUCAGAUAACAACAUUAUUUGUACCACUGACAAUAUUCAGAGAAAAAAUCUGCUAAGCAACACUGGGAAGAUUCAAGAGCUAAAUCAACAGGUGGCCUCCCUUCAAAACGUCAUCAUACAAGUUCAGGAGAUUUACCAUGGUCUGGUAGCCUUCUCUUCAGAGCUGAAGAAGAUGGAGGGGGCGAUGGAUGCAGUACAAACAGACAGCUUUGAAGUGAAGAGGCUUCUCAGUGAGACCCAGGACAAUCUGCAGAGGAAAAGACAGAGCCUUCAAACACUCAGGGACAAUCUUAACACUGCACCAGUGCAGAAGAAUAAGCCGUCAGAGGUCCGACUUCUGGAGAAGAUGAGGCUAAACUGCCAGGUGUUUAAAGAUGAGAUCACACUAGUCCACCUCAAUCGACAGGUGGCUCACCUACGUGAAGUUCUGGAGAAGAUGCAGGCCAAGGAGAAAGCCGAGAGGAAGAGCCCUACUCUGACUCAGCUGGUCUCUUUGCAGUCUCCUGUCAUGCUGGUGGCCACCCAAGUGAAAGCAGACCCAGACGGUCAUUACGGUUUCUCUGCGCACUGCGUAGAGGGCCAGGGUCUGAUGGUGGUACAUAGUGAGGGUGCUAAUCUCUGCCUGAAUGACAGGCUGGUGGAGGUAAACGGAGUGAACGUCUUGGGGAGCAGUGAGGAUGAGUUGGAGUCGAUGCUUAAGACACACACUGCCCACAUUGUUGUUCUUCGGCAGCUGGCAAAAGAACUUCCACAGGAAGACCCAUCUGCCCCCACUUCAGACAGACAAAUGCUGCAGAAACAUCAAGCAAUUUCUUGAAAUGUGUCCAGACCUGUCAUCUGUGUAUGGAAGACCUGAGGAUGCCACAGCAUGAAUAUUCCCAUCAUCACAGCAGGAAUUGCUCCAGCGCACUGACUGUCAGACAUAGCUGCUAAAGUUUAUGGAGCAGAAACAUUUGCCACAUGCAGACGUAUAGCGCAUUUCUUCGGGAUUGCCUUCCCUCUGGCCAAAAACCUCCAUAUAUGCAUUCUGUUAGGAUCUAAAGCCAGUAAAAAUAGUUUGGCCUCUUUUAGAGGGAAAAAAGUUUCGCUUAACAAACGGAGGGGGCAGCUCGGCAUUUUAGAGUUGUUUUUUUGGGGGGUGUUGAAGCACAGUAAGGGUGGCUGUGGCUUUUCGGGGCUUUCUGGCAGGCUGUACUUUAACUUAACAGCCAGUGCAAUAUGUCUAGAGGACACCGACUGGUAUGUGUGUGCACCGCAUUCAAAGACUAUAACAGCUCAGUCUACAGGGCCGCUGACGUAUCGUUUAACAUGGACACGUUUAUCCUUGUAAUGUAUAUGAUGUGUAUUGUUAGUGUCAGUUGAUAUUUAAAUAUAAACCCAGAGCAUUUCGACCUUAUGGUGUGUGUACAGAGUUAAACAGCUGCAGCCAAUCGAUCCAAGUACACACAAUUUAGCCGUCUAUCUUUUCACUCCCUCUUUACAUCCGAAUGAGUCAUUCAAGGCAAGGACAUUUAGAUAUCGGCCAAGUUCCAUAAUGACCUGCAGUGACAAUCUUGUCUCCAUUUACUCCAAACAUCACUGGAUAGACUUAGGGCUAUUGCCCAAAAUGGGUCACUAAAGAUGAUGGAAAGGAUUCGGUUAUUAACAUCAUAUGCUGUUUUAUAUGCAUUUUUGGACGGUACUUACAGGAGGAAGAUGUUCUAGUUGUGCACUCUUGCAUUGCGCUUGUUGGCUGACCCUCGAAUCAUACAGUAACACCCCUGGGCAUCUGUUCUGUUUUAGGAUUGUAGAUAUGACCAACUCAAGCUUUCCAGAUAAGCAGAAGCAGACAUCUGUCUCUCUCUCUCUCUGAACUCAGCACUUCCAGGUUCAUCUCUCUCCCAUCUGCCCCCCAUAACAUGAGCCCCACUCCUGCCCACCCGACAUUUAAGGAGCUCCUGGCAUUUGUUUGAAGUUAGUGUAGGCAUUAGCUCUGGUUUCCUGCUUCAAAUCCCUAUGCAGACCCAAUAAAAGGUCUGUAGGUUGAAAAUUCACUAAAGUAGAUUACUGUCUGUACAGAAAUGUAAUGCAAACAAACUUGGAAUUUACUGGCUAUUAUGAGGAAAUUUUUCUGGCACCCAGUGACUUUCCCCCUAGUGAGGCUUUAUGGUUAGUCUGAGAUAGACAGGAACUCCUUGUAACCCCUACCAGCAUUACUAGUUUUACCACUUCAUCGACAGCUGCCCAGUUACGCAGAUUUGUACUGUAUAUACAAUAUUACAUAUAAGUAACAUUGCAUGAGUAAGAGUGAAUGAGAGUGAGACUGCUUUCAUAAAAAUUCAAUACACUAAUAAAACCAUAUCCAAAGGAAAAUUAACCAUUGUGUCUCCGAACAACACACAGCAGUGGCAUUACUUAUUAAAUCAUUGUUUUUAUAUGAAUCGUUUGUAUGAAUAA
Molecule: long non-coding RNA, 2580 nt
Filed under: Sinocyclocheilus grahami
Lineage: Eukaryota; Metazoa; Chordata; Actinopteri; Cypriniformes; Cyprinidae
Description: lncRNA (ENSSGRG00000022324.1)
Source: RNAcentral